AUCACCUCAGUGUACUCACUGAAAAUGCAGAUAUCUUGGCUCCACUCCCAGCAGUUCUGGGAGGUACUUACUGUGUGAGGUCUGGACAAACCUUGAGAAGCGUUGCACAUUGUCUUCCUAGAAAAGGCACAUGUGCGCACACACUUCCAAUUUUACCAGUGACUCUAAGGGAAAGUUUCAGAAUCCUGUGGCUUUAGUCUGGUACAAUUUUUCUCAAGACUGGCUACAUAUCACAAUAACCGAGGGAGUUUUAAAACAAUAUUCCAGACCAAUUAAAUCAUAAUAUGAGUGGUAUAGGGUGACUAAACUGCAUGUUUUUUUUCCCCCAACCUGGAAUGGAGACUAGAGAUUUUUCCCAAUGUAUCAAUCUAUUUUACUGAAUUAGACUCACUUGACAGAUACCUAGCAAAAGUGAUAACACAAAGAAGCCCAGUUACGCUGUAAAUCUUACAAAAUACACAGUUUAAUUUGUGUAUUGGUGAGAAGGCUCAUCACUUUUGGCAUUGAUUUGUCUUUUUCUCUUCAAAGGUUCAAAGGAUUUAGUGGACUUUGUACUCUGUUUGAUAGAUAGCCCUCCCAAGCAUGAGAGAAGAAAAGAAGGCUCUUCUUAUAAUUUAUGGCGGCAAAGGUAGUGUUUAUUGUGAUUUCAGUUGAUGAACAUCUAAGAAAAUAUGCGGAACUGCAAAUUGACACUGAACUGCGAGAUCCCUGAGGAUGCUGCUGCCAGGUAUGUAUGGCUUUGUACAGCCCCCUCUGGUGUCCCCCAAAGUGGCUGGGACACCGUGAGUGAUACUCUUAGGCUAGGCUUCUCCUCCGUCAGAAAAUAAGUGGGAGGGAGGUUGACCAUCCUUUCCCUGGAGAUGGCUACUCUUCAGGUAGGGUUGUUUCCAUUUAUUAACUGCUUAUUUCUUUUCACAUUAUUUUGAAGAGUAAAUUUGUUGUAAAUGACAGAAGUAAUAUCACUACAUUACAGAAAAUUGUAGGCAUAAAAAUCAUUCCUGUCAUUCCUACAUGAAUACACCUGCCCUUUUUUAUAUGCAUUUUUAUAUGCAUGUUUAAUGUAUUUCUAAUGAUAGUGUAUUUGAAUAUUAUAUUUUAAAGAUUAUGAUGUUUCAUUCUAAGCAUUUUUUCUUGUUAAAUCAUCCUCAUAAAUGUUAUUGUGAUUCCAAAACUUUUCCACUAUUUUUCUUGUUAUUAUUUAUUAGAUACACCAUUGUUAAUUCCUCAUUGGUAUUUAAUGGAUAUACCACUAUUUAUUUCCUCAUUGUUGUCUCUCAGAUAUACCAUUAUUUAUUUGGCUAUUUUCUUGAGGUCUCCCACUGAUGAUUAAAUGAUUAGGUGACUGUUAGCUUAGGAAAUCUGCUUCUUUGAACUCAGUUUGAUAAAGGUCAUUAUCAUCAUCAUCUAGCAUAGCUGGGUCACAGUUGGUAUUUGGUAAAUGUUGGUUUUCUUCCUUCUUCUCUUUUCCCCUUCUUUAUGCCAAACUUAGGGUUGUUUCUUAUAUUGCAAACCUGAGGGUAUAGCAUAUAUUUUAUCUGGAGAUUUCUAACUGCUUAUUAUGAAAGUUUGCCUUGGCCAUUUCAAUGAGGAUUUCUAAUUUGAUCACAGGGGUUUAGUUUUCUUUAUAUCAUUUUUUCAGGUAUAUUGAUUCAUUCUUUCCAGUCAAAAUGUUAGAGCUACGGAUUGUGGAAAUCACCUUAUCCAGUGGUUUUCCAACUGGUGCACAUUGGAAUUUUGCAGAGUACUUAAGAAUACUGAUUCCUUACUAAUUCUUAAUUUGGUAGAUGAGAAUUGGGAAUCUACAUUUUAAAAAGCAUUCCUGUGUUCUGAUUCAAGUAGUAAAAGGACCAUAAUUUGAAGUUAUCAUUUGGUUGGUAAACUUUACAAACUUCUUAGUGUUAAUGUUAGAUUUUUUGUCAUGUUCAGUUUUUUUCUUUUAAAACUAAUUGAGUCUUGAGAUGACUUAUUUCAGGAGACAAAUAUUAUAAUCACAAUUAUGUUCUGAACAGGAAGUAAGCUCUAAAUGAAUCUUAACAUUUUACUUGACACAUUACUGUGUUUAAGUGUAUCAAAGAUGUCAUUGAAAGGUACAGUGGAGGAAAAUGAACUUGAUUUGGCAGGUAGGUGUGCAUGGUACUAUUAUCCACAACUGUCUAUGCCGAUUGACAGCACACACAUUACCUCUUAACAGGCAUUGUACUCAGUUGCAUCAGAUUUAAGUGUAUGGCAUCUUUCCUGAAUAUUUGAAACUGUUUUAGUUAAUAGUAUUAAUUGUGCAUAGCCCAACUUUCAGCCACUGUUUCAAAGUGUUUAAUGGAUAAUAAACCAAAAGGUUCUAUGGUCCUCUGCUUAGAGUAAAUUUAGGUCAACAAUGCCAUGUUGCUUAAGUAUUAUGUAUUUUGAGCAAGGCAAAUGUUUACUAGUUCAGAGAAGGACUCUUCUUCAUAUUGUAAAUUGGAAAAUCAAAACUCAGGGAUGAAGUGUUCUAGGUCAUUCAGCCACAAGGAACAGAGUCAGAACAGGUCUUCUGGAUCCUUAUUCUCUGCCAUGCCAAACUGCCUUUUUUUGCAUAGUUUCUACCUAAUGAGAAACACUUAGUCUAAUGUCUGGUAGAGAUGCUAUAGUCCAUUCUUAUAUUGCAAAGAGCAUAGAAGCAAGGAAUUCUACUCAGUGUUUUCUUUUGGAAAACCAAACAUGCUUUAUUUCAUUUUUUUUCACAAUUUAUUUAAACAUCUCACAUAUACAAAAUAGGUACAAUUUAGUUUCUCUGCUUGUCUGAGAAACAAGGCUUCUUUGGUACCAUGGAAGAGGAUGAAAACAAGGCUGGCAAAGAACAAAUGCUGAAUUUAAAGGAGAGGACAAUGUUGGGCAAAGGAUCUGCAUACUUUUAUUUGGGGGUAAGAUGUAAAAUAAUGAUGCUAAAUCAAAUAAAAAAUACAGAAUACAGCUCCAAACAGAGGAGUAUUUCUUCUCAAAGUCUUCUAGCACCAUCAACAUUCUUCAAGUAUCUGAAAUACAAUUAAUUAGCACCUUUGUGUUUUGAACAAACAGAAGCACCUCAGCUCAUCUCUGUCUAGGUCAGCACCUAAUGGUGUGGAUCACACUCAUAGGAAAGUGUUUGAGGUAGUUUUAAACCUUUGGAAGUUUGGUUUUUAAACUUCCCUCUGUGGAAGAUAUUCAGAAGCCACAAGUGGUGCAAAUGUUCAUGGUUUUUAUUUUAUUUUUCAAUUUUUAUUUUGGUUUUCUUACAAAGGUUGACAUUUUCCACAACAGGUGUAAAAGUGUUGAAAAAAAUUCCAAAUCUUUUGGGGAGGAGAAGAGGGAGAGGGAAUUAAUUGAAUUGUAUUGCACAAUGCUCUGAUCAAUCUUUCUCCUUCUCUUUUGCCCACAAUUUAAGCAAGUAGAUGUGCAGAAGAAAUGGAAGGAUUCAGCUUUCAGUUAAAAAAGAAGAAAAAGAAAUGGCAAAGAGAGAAAGUUUUUUUCAGAUUUCUUUUUUUCUUUUAAUUUAGGUUGAGUUCAUUUAUUUGAAA
Manis pentadactyla (Chinese pangolin) is the source of this 3530-nucleotide long non-coding RNA. RefSeq lists it as uncharacterized. The transcript is spliced from 2 exons. Lineage: Eukaryota; Metazoa; Chordata; Mammalia; Pholidota; Manidae. The record is from RefSeq and is a predicted model, not a curated record.